RNAcentral lists this ribosomal RNA (253 nucleotides) under uncultured Eubacteriales bacterium. RNAcentral describes it as "uncultured Clostridiales bacterium partial 16S ribosomal RNA". It matches the Rfam family "Bacterial small subunit ribosomal RNA", at positions 524 to 776 of the family's 1533-position model. Lineage: Bacteria; Bacillati; Bacillota; Clostridia; Eubacteriales. The record is from RNAcentral.
UACGUAGGGGGCAAGCGUUAUCCGGAUUUACUGGGUGUAAAGGGAGCGUAGACGGCACUGCAAGUCUGGAGUGAAAGCCCGGGGCCCAACCCCGGGACUGCUUUGGAAACUGUGUAACUGGAGUACAGGAGGGGCAGGCGGAAUUCCUGGUGUAGCGGUGAAAUGCGUAGAUAUCAGGAGGAACACCAGUGGCGAAGGCGGCUUGCUGGACGAUGACUGACGCUGAGGCACGAAAGCGUGGGGAUCGAACAGG